RNAcentral lists this ribosomal RNA (423 nucleotides) under Pieris brassicae (large cabbage white). RNAcentral's name for it is "partial 16S ribosomal RNA". The record is from RNAcentral. Lineage: Eukaryota; Metazoa; Arthropoda; Insecta; Lepidoptera; Pieridae.
UCUGCCCACUGAAUUAUUUUAAAGGGCUGCAGUAUAUUGACUGUACAAAGGUAGCAUAAUCAUUAGUCUUUUAAUUGAAGACUUGUAUGAAUGAUUUGAUGAAAUAUAAACUGUCUCUUUAUUAAUAAUAGAAAUUAAUUUUUUAGUUAAAAAGCUAAAAUUUAUUUAAAAGACGAGAAGACCCUAUAGAGUUUUAUAUUUAAAUUUAUAUUAAUUCUUUAUAAAAUUUAUAUUUAAUAUUUUUUUAAUUAUUUUAUUGGGGUGAUAGAAAAAUUUAUUAAACUUUUUUUAAAAUUUUUACAUUAAUAUAUGAAAUUUUGAUCCAUAAUUUAUGAUUAAAAGAUUAAAUUACCUUAGGGAUAACAGCGUAAUUUUUUUUUUUAGUUCUUAUAAGAAAAAAAGUUUGCGACCUCGAUGUUGGAU